AUGAGUCUCCACUCAGUGCAGAGGCAAACAUGCAUCUCACACAGAAAUAAUGCAGAACCAGCCAUCUUGGGCACCCCGGGCACUCUCAGGUCGAUGCACAAAACCAACGCUGAGCGUGGCCCUGACGUCUGCGUGUUCGCAUCACUCCACGCACAUUGCUCGGUCAUCUCCUCGACACUUGAGAGGGUGCUCUGUGUAGCCAGUUCCACCUGCAGCAGCAUGUGUUCCCUCCGCCGAUUCCAUCUGGAGUGUGAGCCUGCCUUGUGUUGAGGCGCAGCCACCUUUCAGGGAGGAACUGUGUCUUGUUCGCAUAUGUCUCCUGUGGUGUAUCUCAUGGCUGAAUAAGUACCUAUAGGAUAUCUCGGUGUCUGAAUGAUAGGUUCAUUGGAAGGAAAACUUUAUACUUUUUUUUCUUUUUGAGAUGGAGUUUCACACUCAACGCCCAGGCUGAAGUGCAAUGGCACGAUCUUGGCUCAUUGCAACCUGUCUCCCUCCCAGGUUCAAGUGAUUCUCCUCCCUCAGCCUCCCAAGUAGCUGGGGUUACAGGCAUCUGCCACCAUGCCUGGCUAAUUUUUGUAUUUUCACUAGAGACGGGGUUUCACCAUGUUGGCCAGGCUGGUCUUAAACUCUUGACCUCAGGUGAUGCACCCACCUCAGCCACCCGAAGUGCUGGGAUUACGGCCAUGAGCCGCCGCACCCAGCAACUUAAUACCCCACUUUUUUUUUAAUCAUAAUGGGCUUGUUAAAUGCUUACGCUAAUGUUUAUUUUUUAAAAUGUUAUCUGUGACCUUUCAGGUUUUCAUAGCAUUUCUCGUGUGAAAAUUUUAAAAAGGCCCUUUAGUUGUGGAGCGGGGGGAGAAGGGGUUAUCCCUUUCAGCAGAGGGAGAUGGAGGAACCAGGCCCUGGUGGGUCUGAGCCCAGGCAGUCACCCCAGCCUUGGUGCUUACUUAGGUCUGUUCUCCGUUCACCGUAGCAGCGUCCACUCUCAUUGUCAGCAUAAGAAUAAGCUUUUUCCUCUUUCUAUCCAGAACAGUUUGUUAACCAUCAAGUUAAGGUGUCGAGAAUGAUGGCUUUCAGGCCUCAGAUAUGACACAAGGAGUAAAUACAGCUGACACUGAACGACAUGGGUUUUGAGCUUCGAAGGAUCACUUAUGUUAAUUUUUUUUUUUUUUUCCAACCAAACCCUUAUUGACGAAACCUGACUUUGUGGAGGGCCGAUGUUUCCCACAUGUGGUUCCAUAGGGUGGCCGCAGGGUCCUGUGGAUACGUA
Molecule: long non-coding RNA, 1270 nt
Filed under: Piliocolobus tephrosceles (Ugandan red Colobus)
Lineage: Eukaryota; Metazoa; Chordata; Mammalia; Primates; Cercopithecidae
Description: lncRNA (ENSPTEG00000019025.1)
Source: RNAcentral